Long non-coding RNA from Alligator sinensis (Chinese alligator), 473 nucleotides. RefSeq lists it as uncharacterized. Lineage: Eukaryota; Metazoa; Chordata; Crocodylia; Alligatoridae. The record is from RefSeq and is a predicted model, not a curated record. The transcript has 2 exons.
CAACCUCAUCCUCAUCAUUCUCAAAGGGGUCGCUAUUCUCCCUCUCCUCGAUGAACUCCCAGAACCGAUUCCUCCGCUGGGCCUGCAAAGAGAGCACAGUUAUUGCCCUAGUGUGACCCAGUGUUUGAAGUACUCACUUGGAAUGACAAAGUUCGACGUGAUCCGACAUUCUGGGCAGGACCUGGGGAAUGAACAGACCGUGCUGCAAAAUUCCACAUGACAGGGCGCUCCCUCCUGUUACAAACAAACUAGGGCAUGUACCCAUCUUUAAAGCUGUAUGUUAUUGUACCUGGACACUGGCUGCAUGGGCUUUUUCAAUCUACAUUCUUUUGCACAAGACGACACCCUAAAACUCUUCCUCUUCUUUAAAAGCUCAACUCAGCAGCUGGUCAGGAAGUCUCAAAAAAGAACUUGGAAAAACAUUUCACACAGACUCCUUUUGCUUUAGAUUUAAAUAAAUUUAUUAGUUUGUG